Molecule: long non-coding RNA, 578 nt
Filed under: Vitis vinifera (wine grape)
Lineage: Eukaryota; Viridiplantae; Streptophyta; Magnoliopsida; Vitales; Vitaceae
Description: long non-coding RNA (VVIN_LNC003360)
Source: RNAcentral
UUGGCUAGAAGCAAGCUGCAGGUUUUCUGAGCUGUGUGGAAUAACUGUCAUUGUUUGAGGCUUGGCCGAAAAGAAGGCAUUUCAAUUUUUGCUUUUUGUUAUCUGUAAUGUUUGAACAUGGGAUGUUAAGGCUCCUGGAUUUCAAUUAAAAUCUGUUACACCUUUAUUGGGUAACACUGCUUGCCAAGAUUUGGCUCUGUUAUCUGUCAUAUUGGUUAAGAAUCAAAUUCCAAUCUUUCCCCUACUCCAGUUGCUUCAAGAGAGCAUUACCUUAUUGGGUGUCUUCAAUCUUUAAUGCCACGACAACCUUUUCUUGAAGCCAAUGGAGAUGCCUUCAUAUGGUGAGGUACUAAAGGACCCUCCAAGUAGACCCUUUUUCAGUUCCUUGGACACUAUAUGGGAAACUCUGAGCAGCAGAACUAGACUAGACUGUUUCAGGAAUGGGGUCAGUAAGAACCAAAUAAAAUUUUCAACCGUUCAUUACUAUUCAGUUGGGCUAAUGGGUGACAAACUGAAAAACAGAAUGGAGAAAACAAAAUAAUGAAAAUUGACCUCUCAGCCCAAGAAAAUAAGUUUUA